RNAcentral lists this ribosomal RNA (549 nucleotides) under uncultured bacterium. Its description in RNAcentral is "bacterial SSU rRNA". It matches the Rfam family "Bacterial small subunit ribosomal RNA", at positions 355 to 896 of the family's 1533-position model. The record is from RNAcentral.
UGGGGAAUUUUGGACAAUGGGCGCAAGCCUGAUCCAGCCAUGCCGCGUGUCUGAAGAAGGCCUUCGGGUUGUAAAGGACUUUUGUCAGGGAAGAAAAGGCUGUUGCUAAUACCGACAGCUGAUGACGGUACCUGAAGAAUAAGCACCGGCUAACUACGUGCCAGCAGCCGCGGUAAUACGUAGGGUGCGAGCGUUAAUCGGAAUUACUGGGCGUAAAGCGAGCGCAGACGGUUACUUAAGCAGGAUGUGAAAUCCCCGGGCUCAACCUGGGAACUGCGUUCUGAACUGGGUGACUAGAGUGUGUCAGAGGGAGGUAGAAUUCCACGUGUAGCAGUGAAAUGCGUAGAGAUGUGGAGGAAUACCGAUGGCGAAGGCAGCCUCCUGGGAUAACACUGACGUUCAUGCUCGAAAGCGUGGGUAGCAAACGGGAUUAGAUACCCUGGUAGUCCACGCCCUAAACGAUGUCAAUUAGCUGUUGGGCAACUUGAUUGCUUAGUAGCGUAGCUAACGCGUGAAAUUGACCGCCUGGGGAGUACGGUCGCAAGAUUA